RNAcentral lists this ribosomal RNA (253 nucleotides) under uncultured bacterium. RNAcentral's name for it is "partial 16S ribosomal RNA". It matches the Rfam family "Bacterial small subunit ribosomal RNA", at positions 524 to 776 of the family's 1533-position model. The record is from RNAcentral.
UACAGAGGUGGCAAGCGUUGUUCGGAAUUACUGGGCGUAAAGGGCGCGUAGGCGGCCUUCUAAGUCAGACAUGAAAUCCCCCGGCUUAACCUGGGAACUGCGUCUGAUACUGGGAGGCUUGAGUAUGGGAGAGGGAUGUAGAAUUCCAGGUGUAGCAGUGAAAUGCGUAGAGAUCGUAAGGAAGACCAGUGGCGAAGGCGAGUUUCUGGACGGUAACUGACGCUGAGGCACGAAGGCCAGGGGAGCAAACGGG